GUUCAGGGGUAAACCUGAGAAACCCAAAAGAUCGAAUGGGGAGAUUCAUCGUCAGCGCAUUUUGUAUAUGUAUGAGUUAUGAUGCGNNGGUUACUCUUNNGUAGUAUUGCCNUGUACGUACUUGUGCAUUUAUUUGCAAGGUGUUGUCGGCGUGCACUUCUCCCCUAGUAGGACGUCGCGACCCGUUGGGUGUUGGUCUACGACCCGAGNUGGUAGCCUCUAAUGUUNNUUANNUAAUAUUAGAGACCCUUGGUGUUNUUCUGACCGGCUGCCCGGCGGUACUCGUACGGUAUUUAGCCGCAUNUUUANNNUAUGCGUCCAUAUCCGUCGCAAGCGAGGCCAGUUUCUGGUAGUNACGGACCUGGUGCCGUCGCUGGAGCUGGCCAGCUGUUGGCUGUUACGGUAUUCUGGGACUGGCUAAAAUNNA
RNAcentral lists this ribosomal RNA (427 nucleotides) under Glyptocolastes sp. MAS-2010. RNAcentral describes it as "partial 28S ribosomal RNA". The record is from RNAcentral. Lineage: Eukaryota; Metazoa; Arthropoda; Insecta; Hymenoptera; Braconidae.